GAUUAUUUUAAUAGUGAAUAUAUUUAAAAAAUAAGUCUCACUCACUGUAGAAAGACCCAUUCGAAAACCCAUUUGGAAUCUUGGAUGUUGUUACAAUUGUCUUAGCAACAAUUUAUUAAUCAUAACCUCCACAAAAAAAUUGGGCUAAGUCAAAACAAAAUUCCACGCUGAGCCCACUCCUCCGUUGUUAUCAUCUAUAAAAUCAAAAUCUAUAGGGUCAGCUCCCUCGCAAUCUCCUUCCAACCCUAGUUUAGCCCUGUGCAUUUCCCUUUCCCUUCGCCUCUUGUAAUUUGUUCGCGGCCGCAACGCACUACCAUUACAACUACUUGUUCAGCAGGCAGGGCAGUCGGUCGGUAUGUUGCUUGUAUAUUGGACAGAGGAAAGGAGGAAUAAUCGUUGUAACGGUGGUUGGGGUUGCCUACCCGGCGUUCCAAUCCGUAUCUUAUGCGAUUGAUACAGUAAUGAGUGAAUGAGGACACACAUAUCUAUUUAUUAUGUAUGUAGGCAAUUGAUGUACGCUUCUGAGUGGAAUGCUCGAUUUUUUUGAGUAUGAUGACGCUCAUCUGAAUAGGAAGAUCUGAUGUCUAUGCAACUUUCUUUAUUACAAUGUCUCUCCGUGCUUGACCCUCAGACAGACGAUGGCAUUUUAGCUUCCAGCUCUCAAAUUAAUUAAAAAUGUCCGCAGCUGAGGUUUGAGCACAGCUUAGCUUGUUUUAGUGAUUAUGAUACUUUCAAGUUUCUGUUAUCCCUGUCUGAUGGAUAAACUUGUGCUGAUACAUUAGCGUCAGACUCUGAGCCGUGCAUUGCUACCAGGAUUUAUCCACAUCUUCUUACUUGUAAUUUUGUAUCAUUUGUCUGCCCUUUGCCUUGUGCAUAUAUUUCCAGCUAAAUGUGUGUAUGCUGCUGCGAGUACCUGUGAUAUGCUGAGUGGUUGACGAAGGAGCAAAAUAAAAGGAAUACGAGGAGAGCCUAAGAGGAGGGGGAAGGGUAGUCCAUGUCGCCGAAUGCUUGUAAUAAAUCUUGUGGAUUGGUUUACGUGACUUUUUCUUCCUUCCAAAGGCAUUCAUUCAGUCAGACUAAGAUGAUGCCUUUUAAGGUGUCCGUGCUUCUCUGUAAGUGGUGUGGUUCGUGAUCUUAAUGACAAGUGUAUUUAGAGGAUUGAACUUAAUAUUUACAAGAAUUACUUUUUUUAUUAAA
Long non-coding RNA from Andrographis paniculata, 1197 nucleotides. RefSeq lists it as uncharacterized. The transcript is spliced from 2 exons. Lineage: Eukaryota; Viridiplantae; Streptophyta; Magnoliopsida; Lamiales; Acanthaceae. The record is from RefSeq and is a predicted model, not a curated record.